RNAcentral lists this ribosomal RNA (535 nucleotides) under uncultured beta proteobacterium. Its description in RNAcentral is "bacterial SSU rRNA". It matches the Rfam family "Bacterial small subunit ribosomal RNA", at positions 38 to 569 of the family's 1533-position model. The record is from RNAcentral. Lineage: Bacteria; Pseudomonadati; Pseudomonadota; Betaproteobacteria.
GGCGGCAUGCCUUACACAUGCAAGUCGAACGGCAGCGCGGGGCAACCUGGCGGCGAGUGGCGAACGGGUGAGUAAUAUAUCGGAACGUACCCUGGAGUGGGGGAUAACGUAGCGAAAGUUACGCUAAUACCGCAUACGAUCUAAGGAUGAAAGCAGGGGACCGCAAGGCCUUGUGCUCCUGGAGCGGCCGAUAUCUGAUUAGCUAGUUGGUGGGGUAAAGGCCCACCAAGGCAUCGAUCAGUAGCUGGUCUGAGAGGACGACCAGCCACACUGGAACUGAAACACGGUCCAGACUCCUACGGGAGGCAGCAGUGGGGAAUCUUGCGCAAUGGACGAAAGUCUGACGCAGCCACGCCGCGUGAGUGAAGAAGGCCUUCGGGUUGUAAAGCUCUAUCGGAGGGGACAAAAACGUUUAGGGUUAAUAGCCCUAGAUCUUGAUGGUACCCUCAAAGGAAGCACCGGCUAACUUCGUGCCAGCAGCCGCGGUAAUACGAAGGGUGCAAGCGUUGCUCGGAAUUAUUGGGCGUAAAGGGAA